This is a small nuclear RNA of Amaranthus tricolor (Joseph's coat), 162 nucleotides long. RefSeq annotates it as U1 spliceosomal RNA. The record is from RefSeq and is a predicted model, not a curated record. Lineage: Eukaryota; Viridiplantae; Streptophyta; Magnoliopsida; Caryophyllales; Amaranthaceae. The transcript has a single exon.
GCACUUACUUGGAUGAGGUCUAUGAGUGAUCAUGUAGGCUCAUGGCCUAGGUUGUUGACCUCCAUUGCACAUUGCAGAGGGGUAGCUGCCAAAGAUCUCCCCAAGAAGGAGAGUCUACGUCAUAAUUUAUGGUAGUUGGAGCCUGCGUGCGCGCGACUCCUG